GGCCACGUGGCCGAGCGGUUAGGCAGGGGUCUGCAAAACCCCGUACAGCGGUUCAACUCCGCUCGUGGCCU
Molecule: transfer RNA, 71 nt
Filed under: Candidatus Komeilibacteria bacterium
Lineage: Bacteria; Candidatus Komeiliibacteriota
Description: tRNA-Cys
Rfam family: tRNA
About the family: Transfer RNA (tRNA) molecules are approximately 80 nucleotides in length. Their secondary structure includes four short double-helical elements and three loops (D, anti-codon, and T loops).
Source: RNAcentral